CCGUUCACCGAACCGAUCCGCGACGAAGCGCGCGGUCAGGUACGCGACGCAACCGAGCGAUGCGUGGAAUAUCCACUCGCUUUUCUCGUAUAUGAACCGCCGGCCGGGGCAGGGGCACACGGCGCAGGCGGGCGGGGGGCCGCGGAGAAGUGGGGCGGCGGAACGGAAGAGAUUAGCCCAGCGCCUCCUCCUCCUCCCAAACGGAGGAGAACGCAGCGCCGCACCGAGAAUAGCCCGCUCUCUCUCUACCCCACCCCCAAAAUCCAGGGCCCCGGUCUAAAUCCAGCCAGCCGCCGCCAUCCAAUCCCCAAAUCCCUUGCUCCUCCUCCUCCUCCGACGACGACGACAAGGGGGGGAUUGAUUGGUUUGGUUGCAUCAAAUCGAGCCUUAUUUUUGGGGAGCAAAAGCCAAAGAUCUAGGCGGUUUUCUUCCUCCGCCGUUCUUGUGUGGAUCGUUCGUUCUGAAAAUCUGCAGUUCGUCGUCGGCACGGUGGAUUACUGAGUCCCAUCUGAGGAAAGGUCCAAAAAAAGAAGCAGAAUUUGAGCUCCCUGCGUGCUCUCCGACUAUGGCUGUGCGGCCGGCGACGUCGGAGUCGGAGGGCGCGACGACCGACGAAGACGUGCAUCUUUCGCCGACCAGCAUCUGCAGCGGCGGCGGCAGCCGCAUCAAGAUACUCUGCAGCUUCGGCGGCCGCAUCAUGCCCCGCCGGUCCGACGGCACUCUCAAGUACAUCGGCGGCGAGACCCGCGUCCUCGCCGUGCCCCGCUCGAUCCCCUUCUCCGAUUUGAAGAAGAAGGUGGAGGAGAUGUUCAAGACGGAGGUGGCGGCCAUCAAGUACCAGCUCCUCUCCGAGGACCUCGACGUGCUCGUCUCCGUCACCUGCGACGAUGACCUGGUGCACAUGCUCGACGAGUACGACCGCCUCGAGGAGAAGCGGUCGCCGUCCGCGUCGCCGCGCUUCCGUGUCUACAUCUUCGCCUCCCACCCACCGGCCGUCUCGUCGGCCGCCGCCACCGUCUCGUCCUCCCGCCACACCAGCUACGCGCCGGCGCCACACCACCCGCACCUCCACCACCCGCACCACCUCCACCAGUUCCAGCCGGAGCGCUACGUCGCCACCAUGCCCGCCACGCCCAGCGGGAGCCCGUCGUACUCUGCGCACGCGCACGGCGCCGUGUCAGCGGGCAACUCGCCGCGCGCCGACGCCGUGGGUUCUGACCACGCCGUGUUCGGCCUUGGGAUGCAACGCGUCCGGAGCACGCCGAAUCUCGGCGGCCUGGACGCAGCGCCGCAGCACUUCCACCAGCACGCCGCGGACGGCGGCGGCGGGUUGGCGGGAUACACGAGCAGCUCGCCCGGGCGCGCCGGCGCCGGUCACGUCGUCUCGCAGGGAAGCUUGCACAGCUACUACCACCCGCACCACCAGUACGCGCCGGCGCCCGUGCACGUCCCGCACCACGCCGGCGUGGCCGGGAGGUACGACACGCGUGUCUACGUGCGAGGCAGCAACUACGCGGCCCCGGCGGCGGCGCCGCCGCCGAUGAUGCCGGUGGCAGUCCGGUCCGGCCGGCCGGUCUCGCGCGGCGGCGGCGGGCCGCCGUACAGCGACAUGCUCACGCCGAAGAAGGCGACGACGAUAUGGGACUGAGUCCUUGGCCGCCCGGCGGCGGCCCGUGGCGUACACCGGAGCUCGUGGAGUUUUGCAGUGAGCGGCACGAGCAAUUUGAGGGGUUUGAGAUGUAAAAUAGAUGGAUGGAUUGGACCAGGGAUGCACGCCGGCGUCGGAGUAAUCUCUUUUUGCUGCUGAGAACAGGGCCUAACCAUGCGCAGUCAUGCUAGUUCAACUAACGACUAACGUCGCCUGGGCGUCUGGCGGCAAUGGUGAGCGCUACUUUCUCC
Molecule: RNA transcript, 1899 nt
Organism: Oryza brachyantha (malo sina)
Lineage: Eukaryota; Viridiplantae; Streptophyta; Magnoliopsida; Poales; Poaceae
Gene name: TSC22 domain family protein 1-like
Exons: 5
Source: RefSeq, a predicted model, not a curated record